RNAcentral lists this transfer RNA (70 nucleotides) under Dipodomys ordii (Ord's kangaroo rat). It matches the Rfam family "tRNA". Rfam says of the family: Transfer RNA (tRNA) molecules are approximately 80 nucleotides in length. Their secondary structure includes four short double-helical elements and three loops (D, anti-codon, and T loops). Lineage: Eukaryota; Metazoa; Chordata; Mammalia; Rodentia; Heteromyidae. The record is from Rfam by way of RNAcentral.
GGAAAUGUGGCUCAGUGUUAGAGUGCUUGCCUUGCAUGCAUGAGGCCCUGGGUUUCAUUCCUCAGCACCA